RNAcentral lists this ribosomal RNA (468 nucleotides) under uncultured bacterium. Its description in RNAcentral is "partial 16S ribosomal RNA". It matches the Rfam family "Bacterial small subunit ribosomal RNA", at positions 28 to 507 of the family's 1533-position model. The record is from RNAcentral.
GACGAACGCUGGCGGCGUGCUUAACACAUGCAAGUCGAACGGAAAGGCCCUGCUUUUGUGGGGUGCUCGAGUGGCGAACGGGUGAGUAACACGUGAGUAACCUGCCCUUGACUUUGGGAUAACUUCAGGAAACUGGGGCUAAUACCGGAUAGGAGCUCCUGCUGCAUGGUGGGGGUUGGAAAGUUUCGGCGGUUGGGGAUGGACUCGCGGCUUAUCAGCUUGUUGGUGGGGUAGUGGCUUACCAAGGCUUUGACGGGUAGCCGGCCUGAGAGGGUGACCGGCCACAUUGGGACUGAGAUACGGACCAGACUCGUACGGGAGGCAGCAGUGGGGAAUAUUGCACAAUGGGCGGAAGCCUGAUGCAGCAACGCCGCGUGCGGGAUGACGGCCUUCGAGUUGUAAACCGAUGUCGCCUGUGACGAAGCGUGAGUGACGGUAAUGGGUAAAGAAGCAACGGCUAACUACGUG